Molecule: long non-coding RNA, 319 nt
Filed under: Micromonas commoda
Lineage: Eukaryota; Viridiplantae; Chlorophyta; Mamiellophyceae; Mamiellales; Mamiellaceae
Description: long non-coding RNA (MCOM_LNC000150)
Source: RNAcentral
GUUGGGGGUCUUCUCGAGGUGCUGUUCGAUGUGGUGGAAGGCGUGCUGCGCAACGUAAGCGACGCGCGCGUUGGGGUGCUUCCACACGGUACCCUCCUGGGGGACGACCUCUCCGGUGAGGAGCUUGAUCAUGGUGGACUUGCCGACACCGUUGGGUCCGACGCACGCGACGCGCGAUGCGAGCGACACCUGAACGGUCACGUUCUUCACCGUCGGCACCGAGUUGACGGGGUAGGUGUAGGUGCAGUUUGCCAUCUUCAUGAGGGGCUUACCCUUUGACUUGACGCCCUCGAUGAAGCCCGGCUGGGGGAACUUCAUG